This 689-nucleotide long non-coding RNA is filed under the name Olea europaea subsp. europaea. Lineage: Eukaryota; Viridiplantae; Streptophyta; Magnoliopsida; Lamiales; Oleaceae. The record is from RNAcentral.
CAAAGUCCAAUACGUCUAAACCAUAAUUAAGUCAGAAAAUUAGGAAAAAGUAAUUAACAAACAACCCCACCCCACCCCACGCCCUCACAUGCAAAUUCCAUUAUCUUUUUCCAUUCAUUCAUUUUGAGCCUCCCCCAAAUGCACACACAUAUUGUAAAGGAUAAUAGCGACUUCUAAUAGAGACAGAGAGAUGGACGCACCCGAGGUUCAAUCCAUUGAGACUUCCAGCAAAGACUUACCUCUUCCUCAAGAAGACGAACCAGACAAAGCUAUCAAUGAAUGGUAAAAUCUUUUAUUAUCUGUAUAUUUUGAUUGUUGUAAUUAUAUAUAGUGCAAGUUUGUAAAUUGUUGGUUCAUGAUGAAUUGCAGUUGCUCCUGCUUUUAUGACUGCACGGAUUCCCUCAUUGACUACUUUUGCUGCACCGACAUCUGUUAAUUUCUUCAAUUUUAUUUUCUUCUUGUAUUUAUUGGAGAUAUGCACAUCGCGCGGAUGUGCAUUUACUUCAUUUUUGUUCUUCAGAUCCGUUUCUGUGCUCCUUUUCGUUCUGAAUUAACUUUAUUUUCGUUAUAACACUAGUCAAUUUCAGCUCUCAGUUAUUUUCUCCUUUUAAACAAAAUUAAUAAUGCAAGAAUAUUUACUCAAACUAAUUGAUGAUUGCUAACGAGAUUUUAGCAAUUAAUGAUUGAAC